CGUCUCCGGCGCCGGGUCCUGGC
This 23-nucleotide microRNA is filed under the name bovine alphaherpesvirus 1. RNAcentral describes it as "bhv1-miR-B6-3p". Its record names the gene bhv1-miR-B6-3p. Lineage: Duplodnaviria; Heunggongvirae; Peploviricota; Herviviricetes; Herpesvirales; Orthoherpesviridae. The record is from miRBase by way of RNAcentral.